GAUGAAGAACGUAGCGAAAUGCGAUAAGUAAUGCGAAUUGCAGAAUUUCCGUGAAUCAUCGAAUCUUUGAACGCACAUUGCGCCCGCCAGUAUUCUGGCGGGCAUGCCUGUUCGAGCGUCAUUACAACCCUCAGGCCCCCGGGCCUGGCGUUGGGGAUCGGCGGAAGCCCCCUGUGGGCACACGCCGUCCCUCAAAUACAGUGGCGGUCCCGCCGCAGCUUCCAUUGCGUAGUAGCUAACACCUCGCAACUGGAGAGCGGCGCGGCCAUGCCGUAAAACACCCAACUUCUGAAUGUUGACCUCGAAUCAGGUAGGAAUACCCGCUGAACUUAAGCAUAUCAAUAAGCGGAGGA
RNAcentral lists this unclassified non-coding RNA (353 nucleotides) under soil metagenome. Its description in RNAcentral is "partial contains 5.8S ribosomal RNA, internal transcribed spacer 2, and large subunit ribosomal RNA". The stretch from base 1 to 121 matches the Rfam family "5.8S ribosomal RNA", at positions 35 to 154 of the family's 154-position model. The record is from RNAcentral.